Molecule: ribosomal RNA, 250 nt
Filed under: uncultured bacterium
Lineage: Bacteria
Description: partial 16S ribosomal RNA
Rfam family: Bacterial small subunit ribosomal RNA
Source: RNAcentral
GACGAGGGAUCCUAGCGUUGCUCGGAAUCAUUGGGCGUAAAGCGGGUGUAGGUGGCUUUUCAAGUCGGGAGUGAAAGCCCUGGGCUUAACCCAGGAAGUGCUUUCGAUACUGUUAAGCUUGAGUGUGGAAGAGGAUAGUAGAAUUCCUGGUGUAGUGGUGAAAUACGUAGAUAUCAGGAGGAAUACCGGUGGGGAAGCCGGCUAUCUGGUCCAACACUGACACUCAGACCCGAAAGCGUGGGUAGCAAAC